This is a long non-coding RNA of Gymnodraco acuticeps, 1041 nucleotides long. RefSeq lists it as uncharacterized. The record is from RefSeq and is a predicted model, not a curated record. NCBI's taxonomy places the organism in Eukaryota, Metazoa, Chordata, Actinopteri, Perciformes, Bathydraconidae. The transcript has 3 exons.
AUAGUCGGCAAGCGAGGGAACGCCCACAAAAUGUCACAUCCGGUUUGCGCUGAGGGGGAAAACAAACCGGCUUCCACAAUGCCCAGAAGCUGCUGUGUGCCCUUUUGUACAACUAACAAGCUUAAAAAUCCAAAUCUAACAUUUUAUAUUUUGCCCAAUGGGAGCCCAGAGCCCAGGAGAAGAACCCGGUGGCUUCAAGCGAUCCGUCGGGAGUUUGGCCACCUGUGGGAUCCAAAAUCCAAACAUGUACGUCUGUAGUCAGCACUUCAUUACAGGCUUAAAAAAACAAGGACAUAGCCCACCCAGACUACACACCCUCGCUGUUCCCACAUAAAAAGACAAAGUCCAAAGGCUGGGGAGGGAGGGCUUCAGAUGUGCAUAUUGUAAGGAACUCAGACUUCUUAUCUCAGAAGUUCCACCAUGCAGGAGAUCAGAUUUUAGCUGACAGGGGCUUCACUUUGAAGGAUGACUUUGCUGUUCUGGGUGCACAGCUCAUCACACCGUCUUUCACGAGGGGCCGAAAACAACUGUCAGCCGAAGAUGUUGCAAAUUCUCGUGUGACUUCGAACAUCAGAAUUCACAUUGGUAAGUAUAGAGUCAGCAGUCAGAUUCAUACAGUAUGUACAUUUGAAUGUUUUUGGUAUUCAGAGUGUGCUGCAUCAUCAAAUCACUGUUGCUACUUGCCGCUGACGUGGUUCACAUUUCCCUAACUAAAUUAAUUACUGUAACAGAUCCGGGUUAACAAGUGCUGAGACGUUAUUCAAUUAAUCACAUCAACGAGUACAUGUGUAAUCCCUACUUUGUAGGGUGUCUUCAGAUAACAUUUUAUCUUUAACAUGUUAUUCUAUAUUUAAAUACAUUGAACUGUUGUUCACAUUUAGUGCAAUAUCAAGAGAACAGGAUAACAGGAAGUUAACAGGGAUCUUUCUUCACUUUAACAUGAAAAAGAAACACUAAUUAUAGGACACAAUGCACUGACGAUAUGAUAUAACGGUCAACUGUGCUACUCCUGUGAAACUCGAACAUAACAAUGUAGAUAAA